GACGAACGCUGGCGGCGGGCUUAACACAUGCAAGUCGAACGGAAAGGCCCUGCUUUUGUGGGGUGCUCGAGUGGCGAACGGGGGAGUAACACGUGAGUAACCUGCCCUUGACUUUGGGAUAACUUCAGGAAACUGGGGCUAAUACCGGAUAGGAGCUCCUGCUGCAUGGUGGGGGUUGGAAAGUUUCGGCGGUUGGGGCUGGACUCGCGGCUUAUCAGCUUGUUGGUGGGGUAGUGGCUUACCAAGGCUUUGACGGGUAGCCGGCCUGGGAGGGUGACCGGCCUCCUUGCGCCUGAGAGACGCACCAGUCUCCUAUGGGAGGCAGCAGUGGGGAACAUUGCACAAUGGGAGCAAGCCUGAUGCAGAGACGCCGCGUGCGUGAUGACGGCCUGCGGGUUGUAAACCGCUGUCGCCUGUGACGAAGCGUGAGUGACGGUAAUGAGUAAAGAAGCACCGGCUAACUACGUG
Molecule: ribosomal RNA, 468 nt
Filed under: uncultured bacterium
Lineage: Bacteria
Description: partial 16S ribosomal RNA
Rfam family: Bacterial small subunit ribosomal RNA
Source: RNAcentral